RNAcentral lists this ribosomal RNA (364 nucleotides) under uncultured bacterium. RNAcentral describes it as "bacterial SSU rRNA". It matches the Rfam family "Bacterial small subunit ribosomal RNA", at positions 355 to 731 of the family's 1533-position model. The record is from RNAcentral.
UGGGGAAUAUUGCACAAUGGGCGGAAGCCUGAUGCAGCGACGCCGCGUGAGGGAUGACGGCCUUCGGGUUGUAAACCUCUUUCAGCAGGGACGAAGCGUAAGUGACGGUACCUGCAGAAGAAGCGCCGGCCAACUACGUGCCAGCAGCCGCGGUAAGACGUAGGGCGCGAGCGUUGUCCGGAUUUAUUGGGCGUAAAGAGCUCGUAGGCGGCUUGUCGCGUCGUCCGUGAAAACCUGCGGCUCAACUGCAGGCUUGCGGGCGAUACGGGCAGGCUAGAGUUCGGUAGGGGAGACUGGAAUUCCUGGUGUAGCGGUGAAAUGCGCAGAUAUCAGGAGGAACACCGGUGGCGAAGGCGGGUCUCGU